This 110-nucleotide small nucleolar RNA is filed under the name Dichomitus squalens LYAD-421 SS1. RNAcentral describes it as "Small nucleolar RNA Z13/snr52". It matches the Rfam family "Small nucleolar RNA Z13/snr52". From Rfam's summary of the family: Z13 or snr52 is a member of the C/D class of snoRNA which contain the C (UGAUGA) and D (CUGA) box motifs. Most of the members of the box C/D family function in directing site-specific 2'-O-methylation of substrate RNAs. The record is from Rfam by way of RNAcentral. Lineage: Eukaryota; Fungi; Basidiomycota; Agaricomycetes; Polyporales; Polyporaceae.
CGUGUUGAAAGGAUGAAGCUAUUACGGAUGUAAAAGAGCUAUGGCUCAUCCAUCCGAGAGCGCAUCAACCUCAUGUGGAUCCUUCCGUUGCCUUCCUUCUGAUUCAGUGU